Molecule: ribosomal RNA, 493 nt
Filed under: uncultured bacterium
Lineage: Bacteria
Description: partial 16S ribosomal RNA
Rfam family: Bacterial small subunit ribosomal RNA
Source: RNAcentral
AUUGAACGCUGGCGGCAUGCUUUACACAUGCAAGUCGAACGGUAACAGGUUAAGCUGACGAGUGGCGAACGGGUGAGUAAUGCAUCGGAACGUGCCCGGUCGUGGGGGAUAACGCAGCGAAAGCUGCGCUAAUACCGCAUACGAUCUGAGGAUGAAAGCGGGGGACCGUAAGGCCUCGCGCGGUCGGAGCGGCCGAUGUCAGAUUAGGUAGUUGGUGGGGUAAAGGCUCACCAAGCCAACGAUCUGUAGCGGGUCUGAGAGGACGAUCAGCCACACUGGGACUGAGACACGGCCGAGACUCGUACGGGAGGCAGCAGUGGGGAAUUUUGGACAAUGGGCGAAAGCCUGAUCCAGCAAUGCCGCGUGCAGGAAGAAGGCCUUCGGGUUGUAAACUGCUUCUGUACGGAGCGAAAAGGUCUCCUCUAAUACAGGGGGCUCAUGACGGUACCGUAAGAAUAAGCACCGGCUAACUACGUGCCAGCAGCCGCCGUAA